This is a non-coding RNA of Equus caballus (horse), 263 nucleotides long. The record is from RefSeq and is a predicted model, not a curated record. Lineage: Eukaryota; Metazoa; Chordata; Mammalia; Perissodactyla; Equidae.
CUAAAGCACCAAGCUGCCUAACCAGACAGCACAAUUCCAAAGACGAUUAACAGAUGAAAAUAAUCAGUGAGAAAACCUUCAGAAACUCAUUCUGAUAUCAGGAAAUACAUCCAGGAUUAUUGUUCCAGUCUACAGCUGAGAUUACCAACUGUGAAGGUCACCUAAUAAGAGUACUUAUUGUUCUGGUCACAUUUCCAUGAAGGAAGCUUGGUUUCCUCUAUUCCUUUUCCAAGAAGGUCUUCCACCUGCAAAAACAAUCACUU